This 250-nucleotide ribosomal RNA is filed under the name uncultured bacterium. Its description in RNAcentral is "partial 16S ribosomal RNA". It matches the Rfam family "Bacterial small subunit ribosomal RNA", at positions 779 to 1029 of the family's 1533-position model. The record is from RNAcentral.
UAGAUACCCUGGUAGUCCACGCCGUAAACGAUGAGUGCUAAGUGUUAGGGGGUUUCCGCCCCUUAGUGCUGCAGCAAACGCAUUAAGCACUCCGCCUGGGGAGUACGACCGCAAGGUUGAAACUCAAAUGAAUUGACGGGGACCCGCACAAGCGGUGGAGCAUGUGGUUUAAUUCGAAGCAACGCGAAGAACCUUACCAAAUCUUGACAUCCUUUGAUCACUCUAGAGAUAGAGUUUCCCUUAUGGGCAA